This 3474-nucleotide long non-coding RNA is filed under the name Gossypium barbadense (sea-island cotton). RNAcentral's name for it is "long non-coding RNA (GBAR_LNC017078)". Lineage: Eukaryota; Viridiplantae; Streptophyta; Magnoliopsida; Malvales; Malvaceae. The record is from RNAcentral.
UUCACCCCUUCCUAAAUCCUAAGGUGACUGGGAUUCAGGUAAUUACUAUAGUAUCACAUUUUAAGGUUAUCGAUAUUCUUUUAAAUAUUUUUUAUAUAUGUAAACAUAUAAAUAUAUUUAAGCUUAAUAUCAUUUUAUCCCUGAAUUAUAGUGAAAUUUUCACUUUGAUCCUUAUAUUAAUUUUGAUUAUUUUAUCUCAUUUAUUUUCAUUCCAUCAAAAUUGUUUCCAUUAAAAGAAAUCUGAUUUGAUGGUUUAAGCCUAUCAAAUUCAUAUUCGAGGACAACUAAUCUAAGUCUUUGACUCAAAUGCCCGAAUGUAAUUUUUAUUUUUCUCUUAAUAUUAAAAGAUUUCCCUUGUUUUUUUCUUUAUUUGUUUCUCUUUCUUCUUUCCUAGUAAAAGUUCAGCUUUUCCAGCCGAAACUGUAGGUGCACGAACACUAUCGCUAGCACUCACCAUCGUCGUCGUUCCUCCGACCAGUCCCAGUGAAUCAUCAGAGACCCAAGGGUUCCAAUCCAUUAUGCCCAACCAAUUGGUUUGUAUGGCUCUUCAUGAUUUCAUGAAAUCGUGUAAACUCGUCUUAAGAAAAUGGCUCUUCACCAGUUGUAACUUGUAACUAGUGCUUCUCAAAAUCAUUGGCUGGUAUGUAACCAAUGAAAGCCAUACAAAUGAAAUCGCAUAAUAAUUAUUUCAUAUAUUCUUUUGAUUUUUUUUUUCCAAAGUUCUGAUUUUACCCAAAAUUAUUCAAAGCAAAAAUCCGAAGUUUUGGCUUUACCCAAAAUCAUUCAAAGCAAAAAUUUAACCCAAAAUUUCCCCAUUUGUCUAAACCUUUCCCGUUUCUUGUUCUCAUGUUGUCAAUCUUUUGCUCUUUAACAUUAUGGAAACCAAAACUUUAAUAUUGCACAAAUAAUGAUUUUUAGAAUAUUUAUAAUAAUAUGAUUUUUAUUAGUUAAUAUUUGGCAAGGAAUUAGAGAUAGCUAUUAGUCGUGACAAAGAAGAAUACCUGAUAAAUUAAUUUCAUUCUCUUAUAUUUUUUUUAAUUACACAAACCUUAAGUGAUAAAGGCUAUAAUUUUUAUGAGUAUUUUUUUUUUGUGUGUAACCCUAAUAGGUAAUGAGAUGGAUUUAUAAUGAUAAACUUUUAAUUUGGUACAUCCAUAAAGUAACUGAAUGAAUGUAUAAGAUUUAAUUUCUAUUAAAGCAAAACUUUUAUUCCCUUUAAAUUGGGCCCCAAACUUAACUGGAUUCACAAAAUUGGGCUAAAAAUCUUACAUUCUCCCACUCAACUUGUAACAGUCCGUUUUCAGUAAAAUCGAAACAGUGGUUUAGGGAUCACAAAUCCGAGUCCGAAAAGAAAAUUAUUUUAAUUUUAUUUCAUGGUCUGCAUUGUGAUAGAAAUAUCGUAUGAAAAUCAGUGGUUUAGGGAUCACAAAUCCGAGUCCGAAAAGAAAAUUAUUUUAAUUUUAUUUCAUGGUCUGCAUUAUGAUAGAAAUAUCGUAUGAAAAUUUCGUUAGGAAUUUUUUACCGAUUACAUGUCUAAUUAGAAAGAAAGGACCAAAUUGCAUAAAAUGCAAAAGUUGGGUUCUAGUAGCUAUAAGUAUCAAAUAGUUAUGGAAUUCAAAAUUGAAGGUCCUUAUAUGAAAAAUAGGCCAUUAAGAGAAGUUAGUAGAUAAGUAUGAUGAUUCAUCCAUGGAAAAUUAAUUAAAGAAAAUGACUAUAUUGGAAAGUAAAAAUAAUAAAAGAUGAUAAGUAAUUAAAUAAUGAAAAUAUCAUAUUUUUCAUCAUCUUUCUCAAAUUUUUUUAUGGAAACCCUAGCUAAGAGAAAAGACCUCAAGCAAGCUUAUUUGGCUUAAUUGGGUAAGCAUUCUUGUCUCGUUUUUAAUGAUUUUUAUGUUUUCAAGAUUGUAAUAGCUUAAUUUAGCUAUCUCGGGGAUUAAUUUGCAAAGUUAUCAAAGUAAUAGGGUUUAGCCAAGGAUGAAUAUACAUGAAUUAUAGAAUUUAUGGUAGAAAAUGAAAGGUUGUUCAUAGAUAAACAACUUUUGUAAAAUGAAUUUUGAUGAAAUUGUGAUUUAGGGAUUAAAUUUAAAGAUGUAAAAUUCAUGGAAAAAUUCUAAAUUUUAUGAAUUACAUGUUAUAUGUAAAAAUGUUAUAAGUAAAAAUUGACUAGGCUUGAAAUAAUGAUUAAAUUGCAUGAAUUUCAUUUUUCGAGCCUAGGGACGAAUUCAUCAUUAAUUAAAAAGUAUAGGGGCAAAAUGGUAAUUUUUCCUAAGAUGUGAAUUGAAUUGAAUUGGAUAUGAAUUGUAUUAAAUUGAUGUUAAAUUCGUUCGUAUAGAUCCGGAUAACUCAAAUACGAAGUUAGAUCAUGGAAAAGAAAAAGUGACGGAUUAGUAGAUUUUGCGUACACGAACAUUGUCGAGGUAAGUUCGUGUAACUAAAUUGAGAACUCAUAUGUGUUAACUGAAUUAUAUGCAUGUGAUUGUAUUAUUUCUAUGUAUAUGAAAUUAAUCGCAUAUCCGACAAUGCCCGACAAACGUUAAGUCUCGAUUGAAUAAAUGAAAUUCGAUGGAUACAAGAUUCCCGAAUUGGUUGUGGUCCUGCAUAUGUUGCGGACACACCAUAGCUCAAAGAGUAUCCCGAUAUAUGGACCUCUCGAGCUUCCCGUUAUAUGGUUCUUGCGAGCUUUUUGUUAAUAGCUCUUUGUAGCAUCCCGAUUGGUUGUGAUUCUACAUGUGUUGUAGACACACCACAGCUCUUAUGAGCGUCCCUAUAUAUGGUUCUUCGUGAGCUUCCCGAUUAAAGGCUCUUUGUGAGCUUCUCGUUAAUGGCUCUCUGGAGCUUCUCGAUUAUGGCUCGCUUGAACUUCCCGAUAUAUGGCUAUCUGGAGCUUCCUGUUAAUGGCUUUUCAAAGCUACUCGUUAUUGGCUCGCAUGAGCUUCCCGAUUAUAGCUCUUAUGAGCUUCCCGUUAUACAGCCUGGAUAAGCUUCCCAUUACAUGGCUCACAUGAGCUUCCCGUUAUAUGGCUCGAGAGAGGGCUUCCCGAUUUUGUGCUCUAAGGAGCACUCCCGAAUAUGAAUUGACGGAUUACAGUUUGUACACUUCAAGUGUACUACCUGUGUAUCCAUCGAUAUUUCUAAUAAAUUCAAUGGGUAAAGUUCCGACAUGGAAUAAGUUGAACUUGAGAUGAAUUAUUAUGGAAAUGUACAUGUUAUAUGGAUAUAUGAUGUGGAAAGCUUAUCUAUAUGAAAAUUGUUACAUGAUGAGCUCAUCCUUGUUUCUUGAUGUUCACAUAAAAUACAAGACUAACAUGUUUCUUGAAGUUAUAUGUGUUUAGGCAAAUUGCCAAAUUUCUUUGGAUGAAUUUUACAUGCUUACUUUAAAUGUAAAUAAUUGGUAAGUUAAUUUCCCGCUAUACGAACUUACUAAGCAUAAUAUGCUUACUUUGUUUUAUUUCCUUCUGUUCUAUAGUAAUUCAGAGG